GCCAGACCCAAAAGGCCUGACUGUAAAUAAGUUUUUAUUCCUCCAGCUUGAGAUCAUGACCCUGGAAUCCAGCCUUGAUUCAGAUAAGCAGGGACUAUGGAUCACCCAGACUGCCCAGUGUCAAUUCUCUUCACGGGAGGAUGAAGAUCCAGAAUAUAUGGCCUGGGAAAUGGCCACUGUUUGCAGCAGAAUCAGGAAACUUUGUGAAGAUGAAAUCAGAGAGAGCCCUGAUGUUAGGGCAAUGAGGCAAGGAGUAGGAAGCCCUCAAGUGAGGCUACAGGGCCUGUGUCUACAGGCCCCUGGUGGGGACACUGUCUCUGCACAGAGGAGAUGGUGGCCCUCUGUCCUGGAGACACAGUCAAGGAGGCUGGACUCUGAGUCAGCACUAGGUCUCCGGUGGAGCCUGGAAUGAUAAAGUCACUCAAACAACCAUUACCAGCACAUCCAACACAGACCUCUGCGUCUAAAACCCUGCCGAGUGUUAAGUGUAUACAACCCUGCCGAGUGUUAAGUGUAUCCAAUGCUGCCUACACCCUCACCUGGAACCAACAGCAGCAGCAUCCACAGCAGGGGAGCCUUGGACCCCAUCUCUGAGAGCCGACCUGCAGACCACUCCUCACAGGCC
Molecule: long non-coding RNA, 625 nt
Filed under: Fukomys damarensis (Damara mole-rat)
Lineage: Eukaryota; Metazoa; Chordata; Mammalia; Rodentia; Bathyergidae
Description: lncRNA (ENSFDAG00000022194.1)
Source: RNAcentral